AGCGGAGGAAAAGAAACUAACAAGGAUUCCCCUAGUAACGGCGAGUGAAGCGGGAAGAGCUCAAAUUUGAAAUCUGGCAGUCUUCGAUUGUCCGAGUUGUAAUCUAUAGAGGCGUUUUCCGUGCCGGACCGUGUCCAAGUCUCCUGGAAAGGAGUAUCAAAGAGGGUGAUAAUCCCGUACUUAACACGACCACCGGUGCUCUGUGAUACGUCUUCUACGAGUCGAGUUGUUUGGGAAUGCAGCUCAAAAUGGGUGGUGAAUUCCAUCUAAAGCUAAAUAUUGGCGAGAGACCGAUAGCGAACAAGUACCGUGAGGGAAAGAUGAAAAGCACUUUGGAAAGAGAGUUAAACAGUACGUGAAAUUGUUGAAAGGGAAACGAUUGAAGUCAGUCGUGUUCUUUGGAUUCAGCCAGUUCUGCUGGUCUACUUCCUUGGAACGGGUCAACAUCAGUUUUGUCCGGUGGAUAAAGGUAGUAGGAAUGUGACUUCUCCGGAAGUGUUAUAGCCUAUUAUCACAUACACUGGGUGAGACUGAGGACUGCAGCUCGCCUUUAUGGCCGGCCUUCGGGCACGUUCGAGCUUAGGAUGUUGACAUAAUGGCUUUAAACGACCCGUCU
This 616-nucleotide ribosomal RNA is filed under the name Trichosporon asahii. Its description in RNAcentral is "partial large subunit ribosomal RNA". It matches the Rfam family "Eukaryotic large subunit ribosomal RNA", at positions 49 to 654 of the family's 3401-position model. The record is from RNAcentral. Lineage: Eukaryota; Fungi; Basidiomycota; Tremellomycetes; Trichosporonales; Trichosporonaceae.